This 307-nucleotide ribosomal RNA is filed under the name uncultured bacterium. RNAcentral describes it as "partial 16S ribosomal RNA". It matches the Rfam family "Bacterial small subunit ribosomal RNA", at positions 506 to 807 of the family's 1533-position model. The record is from RNAcentral.
AGACAGCAGUAGCCACGGUAAUACGAGGGGGGCAAGCGUUGUUCGGAUUUAUUGGGCGUAAAGGGUGCGUAGGCGGUUUGGCAAGUCUUGUGUGAAAUCUUCGGGCUCAACCCGAAGCCUGCACGAGAAACUACCGGGCUUGAGUAUUGGAGAGGUGAGUGGAAUUUCCGGUGUAGCGGUGAAAUGCGUAGAUAUCGGAAGGAACACCUGUGGCGAAAGCGGCUCACUGGACAAUAACUGACGCUGAUGCACGAAAGCUAGGGGAGCAAACAGGAUUAGAUACCCCCGUAGUCCCUGUCUCUUAUAC